This is a non-coding RNA of Anas platyrhynchos (mallard), 12219 nucleotides long. NCBI's taxonomy places the organism in Eukaryota, Metazoa, Chordata, Aves, Anseriformes, Anatidae. The record is from RefSeq and is a predicted model, not a curated record.
GGGAGCCUGCCCUCUCCGCUGGGCACUUACUGUAUAUUCUGCGGUAACUGCUCGUACUCGCAUUUAGGAGCGACAUUGACCUCGCAGCGAGAGCUACAGAGGGAGCAGGGGCACCUGCCCAAAACAAGACUUGAAACGGGAAGCAUAGAGAGACAGAAAAUAGGAGAAGGAAAGAGAAACAAAAAGCGGAAGCAGGAGGAAAUAAGCAGAAAUAAACAUGUGAACUGCAGCUGUGCAGCCAAACCAGGCAUCGUCCUCAUCUCAGGAAUCCAGAGCUUAAGCAGCCUUCCGUUAAUCUGCAGAAACCCACCCUGUUCUGGAAGCCACUGAAACAGGACCAUCAGAUUCCUGAAACGGUGUUUCAAGUGUGUGGUUAACCUCAGGUCACAAGGCUUCAACAACUCUGCUGGAUGCUACUCUUCUGUUUAGAAAUGGGAUUCCAUACUGCAUCAACCCUGUGAUCCUACUGCUCAUGUGCUACUUGUGACUGGAGAUACAAAUAUGUCUUCAAUCCAGCAUUUUAUUUACAAGGAAAUUGGGCCAAAUUCCUCUCCUGUGAACUGAAAAAAUCCCUCUAGACUGUUUGGGGGGAAAAAAGGAGUGAGAAAAGGUUCCACAUUUUUUACAUUACUGUAUCUUUUGCUUGCAGUUUUGGGAAAAAGCAAUCUGUGUGCCACGAAAUCAAAGUAAUAGGGGAAAAAAAGCCACUUCAGCAUAUUUGCUGUGCAGCAGUGAGAAAACUCUGUCCUUGUCCCAGACAGCACAAUGUGUGCACAGAUGGAGGGCAGCGUGGCCCGAUACCAUGGUCCUUUGUUAAGCAAAAGCUCCAUCAGCUCUUGGGCCAAGCCCCCACCACCAGUGAGGCAGAUUUCCAAUGGCAAGCAAUAGGAAUGCAGGCGACAAAGACCUUGGCAGAGUCAGGCACUAGCGGACAGCAUUUCUGUGUUGCUUGGGUGCAGAUACAGUGCCAGGAGAGGUGGCUGAUGCCAUACGUAGCUGCACUGGUGGAUGCUGACAGCCUCCAAGUGCUCAGCCAUGCCUCGUGAACAGCAGUCUGCCUCUGGGUCACAGACCAGCAAUGACAGUGAAACUUAGCAGCAGAAAUAUUUAGCCCUGCUUUUCAUCCCAGCUCUGAGAAAGGAGCUGAGGUGAGUGUAGCCACUGCUGCCCACAGCUCUGGCUGCCCCAGGGGCCAUGCAGGAGCACUCUGUUGGGUCUCACCUGGGGAGGUCUCAUAUGCAGUGCUGUCGGGCCAGGCAGCCCAAACCCAGACCUUCUGUCCAGCACCCGCAGAGGGCCGGACAAUGGCUGGGCAUAAGAAAGCAGAGCAACUCCACGAAAGAAGGCAAUAGCAGCAUGAGGUCUCAGUUUUACUUACAUUAUCCAUAUCCACUUGGUCUGUGUCACAUGUCCUCUAGUUUUUAUAACACCUCCAUGCACAGGGGCAUCAGAAUUUAAGCAAGUAUUUUGCUUUAUCCUAUUAACUGGGAAAGUGCUUACCUUUUGCAGAAGAAAACACACAAGUCAACAAACCAGAAGACAGUUUAAAUGGCCCUCACUCUGCAGUUGGGCUUAUGAUAAACUCUUGGAAAGGAGAACCCACUGUUGCUUUCAUAUUUAAAAAGCAAUAGCAGUAGUCCAUGAACCAAAUCCAGAUCUGCUGGCCAAGUGUUACAUGGUAAGAUCCUGUAGCAGAAGACCUGUGUCCCCCAAGCCUGAAAAGUGAUAUUUUCCCUGGCAACAUAAGCCAGAAACUGCUGUGCUGCAUCACCAUCCCACAGCAGGCUCACAGCAGCAUUCAGCCUUGUCUGUUCUCCCAGAUGCUUCCCCUGCCCUGCCCUGCCCUGCCCUGCCUUCUCUCUUCCAGAAGAGCAGUGACUUGACCUGCAGGUGACAUUUGGGCAAGCAAAGGUGGGGCAGUGGCCUCCAUGCCAGCAACCACCCAGCUGGUGCUUGUGGUGAGCUGAUGGACCAGCAAGGGGCCACAGCUGGGGGCAGGUGCUGCCCACCUGUUCAUCACAGGUACCUGGCCUGCCUGGCUUCUCCAGGAGAUUAUUUCAGCAGUGCUCCCCACCUUAGCAGGGUUUGGGUGUUAUGGUGAGGACCUUAGGGAGUGAGGUUCUCCAAGUCUUGUGGUCCUUUUGGGAAUCCAGCUUUGGGGGCUGACUGGCCUGCAGGGGACCUGGGUUGGAGUCUCCAGCUCUGGUGGGGCUCCUCUAAUAGAGGUGGCCCUGCUCUGGCUUUCUUCUCCCAGCAAGAUAACAAACUGCAACUUUGGUUUCACCCAUCCAUUUGGGGGUGAAAGAGAUGCUUUCACGAUGCACCACGAGAAGCACCAACAAAAAGCUGAACCCAGCCAACACCCACUGAUGGGAGGGUGACUCACAAAUCCUCAGCUUGCUACGUGUGCCCUGCACUUCUUCAGCUUCACAGGACCUCAGAGCAUUUUUAUGGGGCGGUCAGAAGAUACUAUCUUUUGCAUUGUAACAACCCUCCGUGUCAUGCAGAGUUGUGCUGAAGAUCUCAGCUAUUGGCUCAGGAACAGGAAAAUAAUAGGCAGAGCUUGUCGGAGGUUGACUGUCCAAGUGCCGCUUCAGACAGUUCUUUGCCUGCUGGCAAGGCUGGCUGCAAGUCAGGAUCUCAGCAACUGCUGGGUGUCUGCUGAAGAAACAAAAUAAGCAUUUAAUAUGAUCACUAUCAGAUGUGUUGUUAUGCCAAGCACUUCCCAGCGCUGGUGCUGGCUUCUCUAGCUCAGCGUGCAGUCAUUGGAAGAGACAUUGCUACACGGUGAGUUGUUAUGGUACCUGGAAAGUGAGACUUGAUUUGUGAGGGCUUACGUUAUUCAACAUUAGGCAAGCAAUAAUUCUGCGUGGCCAUAAGCUGUCAGCCCCAGUCCUUCACUGGAGAAGUGUCAGGCAAAGCUCAGAUUCAUGUUUUGAUGACACAAAGUGUUUUGUGCCUUCUUGCCUGAGGCCUGAUGUUUGUCACAGCCUAGACAGCAGUGACAAAGAACAUGAGGCAUGGGGUUUUCAUGAAGAAUAAUGCUAUUUGUCAGUCACUUCGAUCCAGGAUAUUUUUAAUGGGUUUAGCCCUGCCCAGUUGAUGUGCUACAGCACGUUCUUGUGAUGCUUUUACACUAUUAAACAUAGAUGAAUAAUUGACAGUAUUUUACUGUAAAACAUGGUAGGUUUGUCUGACUGUUUUUCAAGUCAGGCAACUUGAUGCUAACCAGAGAGACUUAAGUCAGGGUUUUCCCCAUUGGCUCUGAGCUAGAAUUAUUGCCUCUUUAAAUUUUAUUAUGACAAAGCCAUGACUUGUUUUCCUUAUUUUUCCCCCCUCUUUUUAUUACUAUGGCAAACAACCAGGCUUGCAUAAAAUAACCAUUGUCAAUAGACGAUAUCAUCUGGCAACAGUGAUCAUACUCAAUGGAUUAAAACUGAAAGGCUGUCACCAUCUGUGUGACUGUGGCAAAGCCUUACUUCCAUGUCGUAGCUGUUCUCCCCUUGAACAUACAAGGAUGUUUUCAGCUGAUUGCAAUGAGUUUUGGAGAAGGUUGUCAUUGGCUAUAUGAUUUUCUGAACUGUGUUGCCAGUUAUUAUAAUUAUUGGCGUUUAUGUAAGCUUUUUCCCCUCCCAUGCAAUCUAUUCUGUCCUGCUCAGGUGCUGUGCUCGGUUUCAGGAUCGACUUGGAGGUUCCCGUUCAUUCUACACUUGGUGAUGCCAGAUGCGUACCAUUAAGUCUCACUUGACUUGUAAGCUACAAAACAAAACCUGGUCUGUGUGAAAAACAAAAUUCAUAUUCAAUCACAAAGACCUUCAACAAUGGCAGAAGGAAAUACUGGAACAUUACUAUGAGGCAAAGAGCUGCCUGGAUCAAGUGCUCUUACUUGAGAAUUUGUCCUGGCGUGCAGGCCCUUCUCACAAUUUAUCUCAUGCCUGCUGUCUGAUGCAAGGCCAAGCAGGGAAGAAGUCUUUGUGUAUGACCGAGACAAUUCUUGAUGUUCAGUUUUUAUCAUUUAAUUUUCUGCCUUUCAUGUUAGUUCAGCCUUCAAAAUUUGUCAUUAUAGAUUCAAUAUAAACUGCUGCAGUAGAGACCUAGGUGAGCAGCUCCAGCCAGAACCAAGUUAUAUUUCUGAUAAGAGUAGAAAAACUAUUUAAAAACAAAAAAUAAACUACAAAAAAAAAAGGCACUAGCACUCACAAAAAUAAAUAAAUAAACACAAACUCAAAAAGGGUCCUGUGCCUGGCCUGUUGCACUGAUGCUGUUGCUAUCCUUGUCCCCAAAGCAGCUGGCCCAGCAGAGCAGUGGCAGAGGUGAGCCCCAGGCAGCCACUGGCCAGGCUCUAUCCCAGCCUCUGUGGAGCUGCAGCCCUGUCCAGCGGAGCAGCGCAGCCUUGUCAGGGCUCCCUGAUGGCCAGUGGCAGAGCGAGGGGCACCACAGCGCUGGGGGGAGCAACUGGUACCAGUUUUUCACCACAUGGACACAGAAAGCUACAGUGGUGGAUUUCUACAAUGGAGAAGUAUAUGAUUUUGAUUUGCGGUGGGACUCCUGGAAGUGCUGAGGGUUCCUGGUCCUCUGACCUGCAUCUUAUUUCCCAUGCAAGGGAGAUAGGGCACUUGGUGCAUCUGCAAGGUCGACAGUAUCAGUGUAUGGGCUCUGUGUCCUGCUGGCCCUGGCCCACCUCUCAUCAGUGGGGGCAUGGAAGAUUCAUGUAGUGGCCCAGUGUUAGCAGACAGCCUGUUUGGUCGGUUACUUGCAGACAUACUGGUUGGUGUGGCAGCUGCAGCUGAAGGUCCACAUGGCUUUUCCUGAUGCUUUGAAGGAUAAUACCUGUGCAGGGAUGUCUUGAGGGUAUCCACCGUUCUUGGCUUCCCUUUGAGUGCAAAAUAAUAUGGAUUUGGCCUGUACUAAGGAAAACAGGCCUUUAUUUUCCUGCUACAACCUCUUCAUACAGAUCUGUUGGCUGAUGCCUUGGGGCUGGGGGAGAUGCAGCUUUGCUUGCCACAUCUUUUCUAUGCCCACCUGUAGGCUGUUUGCCCCAGCAUGGGGACAGUGGCUAGCCAUGGGAUCUUCAGAGAAGCAGGGGAGCACUUCCCAUGCCUUUGUUUUGUUUUGUUUUGCUGACCUAAAUCUUUGUUAAAAGUCAAGACAAGUAAUGUCUAUAAUCUGACACAGGCUCCUCUCUGGCAUCAUACUCAAAGAGGGGAGCAGCUUUCAUCAUCUUUCUGCAACAAGAAGAAGACUCUGAAUGUUACCAAGCGAUUAAAAAUCAGAGAGGAGGGAAUGCUGAGGACUGUAGCCAGCUCAAGAAGUCCCAGCUCUCUGUGAGCCAGGCUAUGUACUUUUAUGUGUGUUAAGUUUAACACUUCCCAGUCUCACUUCAGCGGAUUUAAUUUUCUCAGAAUAAAUUGUUAGCAUUUUUAUAACUUUGACACAAUUAUUUUGGAGACUUCUUUGAAAGGGGGUUUUGCUUCAAAGCUCAAACAAGACCAUUUGAGUGAAUUUCUGGCUCUAAGCAUGGAUGUUGUUUUCAAUGAAUCUGUCUGUCGAGACCUAUACAAAAAGGAAAGCUAAGCUGUCUCAUUAUUUUCAAAUCUGCAGUGCCAUCACAGUCAUCCAAACUGAUGGUCCUGAAAAGUAGCAUCUGAUCAUCACUGUUUUCACAUGCAGGAAAGUCAUCUGAUGAAGAAAAUAGGUAGACCAAGUUCAGAUGGUUCUUCAGUUAAAAAAAAAAAAAAAAAAAAAACCUUGAUAGUAGCAUUUCAGCUUGCUGCCCUUACCAUCCCUCGUGCAUUAAUUGCUCUGGAUGUUAGCUUGGGCGCUUCAUGUCAAUGAUGUUCUGGAGAUAGCGCAUGAAAACUUUACCUUUGGGAAACAUCAUGCCCUACACCACUUAGGGCUUUCCAAAGCAAAACCCAUGUUCUUUUGGCCAGGAAGACAAUAUGGGAGACAGAGCAUGCAGAAAAGGUUUUGUUUGGUUUUGUUGGUUUUGUUUUAGCUUUGGAAGAGAAAGAAGUGUGUUCCUUGACUGUCUGGGGGGGGAUGUGAAGAGUGGCUUUUGCAUUGAAUGUGUACAGCAGUUCAUCAAAAUAUAUGGCUCUGGAAUGUUAUAGAAAUGAAUUGACACAUUGAUUUUAGUUGGAAAGAGACAAACACCAACAGGGUUUCUUGUGAGUGAUUAUACUAUAGAAGACCAAGAUGGGAAGAACGCAGUGAAACUCACUCCUGAUUGAGUACUGAAUGCAGCACUUCAGGUGCUCGUGGCCUUUGGAUGCUUCUUGGCCUUGCUUGUUUCUUUCUUCUUUGCUCAUAUUUGUCACUUGUGCUUUCCCUUACUCCAUUCAUAAUGCAUCCAGCUGUUCCUUGCCUCCCUGCACCAGGAAAUGCUUUCAGCUGCUCUCCAGGCCACUGGUUAGGAGUUGCACAGUCUUCACUAAGCUGGCAUAUGAGCCAGCAUGUGAACACUGUCCUGUCAGCCAGGACCAGCUGCGGCAAAACAAGGGCAUUACGGAGCUCCUGCAAGAAGGAAACUGCUGAGGUAAAAGCUUUGGUGGAUUUCAAGUUAUGCAUCCACUGUCAUUACACUCUUCCCUGCCUUUCAUUUCUCUCUCUGUAUAUGUACAUGAAAAGUUAGCCCAUUAGCUCUUUGUGGCGAAGAUUGGGUACAUGUUAUUAGCAAUAAAUACCUAAUCAUUGUGUAACAGCACUGAGAAGAAGAGGAUGCAGCGCUGGGAUCUCUUAGCUCCACAGCAGGAAUGCUGAUGGCUCAGAGUGGUUUCACUGACUUCAUUUGGGUUUGUUCCCUCACACUAGCAGAUGAAAAAUCAUUUAAGGUUACCAUGGUGGCUUUUAUUAGUGUUUUCAUUAAACAUCAUUGGACUGUUCCCUAGGAUUUUCAGAAACCUAGCCAAAAAUGAGCUGUGCUCUCAACUGAAUCAUGAGUUGCCCAGCUGUUGAAUUUCCACCUGCAGUGGGUACAUCGUGUUGCCUCCCUGGCACCAGUUGGAGCAAUAGCAACACAGAGGUACAGGGCAGCAGAACUGGCCCGAAGAAGCUGAGUGAACCAUCGGCUGUUAUCUGGUGCGUGCAGUGGCUGUUCUGCACCUCAACUGUGUGUUAGGGACUCCGAUUGUCCUCACGCUUUUUCUAAGCCAAGUAGAAGAGCAGUGUGGGGAAAAUGGGAGUCCUUAACACAAUCAUAAUUGCCUACUGAAAAACAUAUUUAUAGAAGAAUAUUUUUUACAGAUAAGCUGUAAAUAUUGUUCAGCUCUUGACGGAGGUUGCAAAUGAAUGUUCACUUGAGUACUAGGAGCCCAACGCUACAAAAUUGCUGCUCAUGCAUUCAGUGCUGUCAUGGUGCUAGCAUGGGCACAUCUGCAGGCAGAAAGAAUGCAAAACGUCAGAGAAGCUCUUGCUGUUUGCCAAAGGUCCUAAGGGAAUCUUCUGUUUCAUUCGGUAGUAAUGCCCUUUUUGUUGACAAAAGUAAAUUGAUGAUAGGUGAGAGGGAAGCAUUUGUUGGAAAAAUUCUGUUGACCCUUCUCAGAUUGAAUUUGACCACAGAACAGGAUACCAGCAGUUGCAGAAAUGAUAGAUUAUCGUAAUGACCAGCAGAAUGGCCUUUUGGCAUGUUUAAAUGGCAAUAAAUUUCACUAGGAAGAGGGCAAUUUAACUACUUUUGGGCAAUGAGGAUGCUCUUUGUUUGAGGUGUAAAUAAAUUGCGGUUCAUUAACAGUGCACGUAUUACGUUCAUGGUGUAACUCUAAAGCAGGGGAUGUUAAUAUUUAAUUUAAUUUAGGCAGAUAUGCUCUGCCUCUCUUACCUUUUCCUGACUCUGGAUUGCUCAGCUUCCUGUGGCAGUGACUGAGGUUACCUUGAACCUCCUCAGACCCCACCAGCACAGCUCCAGCUUUCCUGAACAAACCAGGGUGCGCAACAAGGAGCGGGGCUUAAGCUUAUGUUUCCAGAUGACACCACUGUGCCCUUUGGUACCACUUUUCACCAGCAAUGCCCUUGCCUUUUGGGAGGUGGCUAUAUGUGCAAUUGCGUAGCUGGGAGAACUGUGGAGCCAAAGCCUUGUUGGUGUGACCUACACCCGUGCACGAGCAAAGACAAGGCACUAGGUGAAGCAGAUGGCAGCAGAACUGCAGUGGUGUAACCACUGAGAAUUUAUUUCUCACCUUUUACCUUGACUCCCAAAUUCCUUGUGUCCCUUGCUCAUUAUUUUGGCAUCGUUCCUUGCUGAACUCAGCUGUUAGAGGAGAAGGGGGUUGGGGAAGAGAAAUUUGACAUUUUCUCAAAAAGAUUGUAUUAAAAUCCACUUACAUUUAGAGCGUGUGCUCAUUUUGGAAUGCUAAUAAGGCAUCAUUUCAUCAAGGUAAAGGGAGCAAAAUCUAAUCAAGCCAAAGAUCAGCUCGUCUUGCUGUUGACUGUGUUCCUGAGACAUCCUUUUAAAAGGUUGCUUUUAAGUCUGUCAUUUUUAGCUAUGUUUAACAGAAGUUUAUAAAUAACCGUAUCACUUGGCUACUUACCUCUGCCUGUAAUAAGGGAGCCUUAUUUCUCUAUUAAAGAUUGCAGGGUGGGCUGUAAGCUUAUAUCCAUGCUGUUGUUUAUACCAGCAGGCACACCUUCCCCCAGCAUCCCUCUCAGGGGGCAGGAAGGCCAGGAUGUUUCCACCUCUUGGCCACCAUCUUCAAUAAAAAGAACUGGGCCAGGACUACUCUUCUGGUUUGGAAAAAAACACAGGUCAACAGAAGAACAACAUUGAAAAGCCAUGUUCUAAAGCCAAACAAAUCAACAAGAAGUGGUCCUGAAAAACAUCAUUGCAGAGCAGGGUUCUGAAGAAAUGACUAAGAAUUUGUUUAUGGAAAAAAAAAAACUUCAGGCACAGUGGGCAACCCUUUCAACAUCUACAUGGACAGCUGUGCUUGCAAAGUAAAUUACUGAUGGCAAUAAAGUACUGAGAUUCAGGCAGCUGCCUCAAGUUGGUGCCCUUGGGUUGGGCUGAGCAUUUCCCCAGAUCAGUACCCCAGUGCUUGGCAGGGGCUUUUGUGGUGAGGUUGAGAUGUGGCUCUGAUGAAUGGUUUGCGAGCAGCUACACUGGACAGGGCACCUCCCUGAGAAAGCCUCCAUCUGUACCGCAGCCUCUCAGCAACCACCUACGGUCUGCAGGCACGUGGGGGGGGCAGAAUAACGUCAGAGAUAACAAGUGGGUCAAGGCCCAGCAUAACGGUGUAACUGAGGUAUACCUUUGGUGUCACACCUGGAUAAAAAAGAUAAAUCCGGAAGGCAUCACGGAAACAGGGAGAGUCAGUGUGACUUUGCUGGCAUACUCUGUGUUUUCCUACCAGCAUGCACCUGUGCAGUUUUCCACAUCAAUCCCUCCAGCUUUUCCCUAUUUCUGCUACCUUGUUGAUAGCUUCCCAGUGGGCACUGGUUUAAGGAGGGAGCACCUCUUGAGGGUUACGCUGGUUUCUGUGCCAGAUAGGGUGAGGCAUGUUUCUGGGAAGGUUGCUAAUCCAACCCAUGAGAGUACAGCUGCAAAGCUGAAUUGCGCUGUUGUGAUCAGGCAUCGCUGCUGCACCUAACUUUUCUGCUGCGUUUGGCUGUCUUUAUCAGGGCUCACUUGGUUCUUAUCAAUACCUGUAGACAGAAUAGAAGGCAUCAGGAAUUUUCUAUUCCUGUUUUACUGCUUGAACAAGAAAUUGGGAGAGUUCAAUGAUUUGCCCCUUCUCUCAUCUAAGAUGAACAACAGACCCAGAGGGGAUGUGCAGUUUUCAUGUCUCCAUCCAGGUCAGGCUCUUGGCCACAGGAGCACCUUCAUCUUCCAUUUUCUUUGGCCACUUAUGCUUUUGAAGGUCUCUCACCUCUCUGUGUGUUUACUAUUUUACUUCUAAAGCCGGCAAAAUUAGCAUUAUUUUUAUUUUCUUCAGUGAUUAAAGUCUGAGUUUGAAGAUUGCAUUAAAGUAAACUGCAAUUACAGAUGGCUCACUGAGAUACCUUCAUUUUAGUUCCAGUGAAGAAGAAAACAUCAUUGGCAGUGCAUUCUUUUGAUUUCUUCCCUUUGUGCCCAUUGCCCGCUUAAGGUUGGUACCCUCUAAAGGGUCAACGUUGUGAUUUUUUGUCGCAGUAGCAUAUUGUGGAAAUGCUAUUAAUGCAUGUUGAAAGAGAAAGAAGCACAGCAUAUUGCAUUGUUCUCAUUUUGAGAGAAGAGCAAUACUGCCAGCUCUGAGUGCUUUCUGAGAAACUGAGUAGGAGGGAAAACCAUUCAGUAGCGGAUGCCUAUCCUGACUCUAUCACUUCUCCCUCUCAAGCCUACUUUUUAUUAUUUAUUAUUUGUAUUAGUGAUUAUUUAUAUUCACUAUCAUUUAUACUUCUAAGUUAAUUUAUAGUUAUAACACACUCAUCAUACAAUAUUAACCAAUCUAUAACACUGUCAUUGAUGGCUGUUUUUUUCAUUAUCCUUCAUGAAUAUUUCAGUGUAGCCUGCCUGAUUCUUCUAUUUUAGAAAAACUUUCAGAAGUGCUAUGUUGUCAAGCCCUGUGAAUACUAAGCUACCCAUCCAAAUGUUGUUGAUUUUGUCUCCUCAGGCUUUUUUACGCGUGUUACAACAAACGCAUUGUGUGGAUGCACAUGUAUACUGAUAGGAAGCAUCAGCCGUAUGCUUGGAGCCGUGUUGUUAUUGAGCAGAGCAUGGUUUAAUUACCUCCUACUUGGGAAUUUAAAAUGUGAGGAUUGAAGCUUGCCUGUUUUUGUUGUUUGUUGUUUGCUUUGCUUUGUGUUUUUUUGUUUGAUUUUUAAGAGCAAUGCAGGCUUUGAUUUAGUGAUGGGAUUUCCUAGGCAGUUCCCUUUCUGAAAUGAUCUGACAUUCACUACUGCUCUUUCUUCAUCCUCAGGAACAGCAGCACGGCUUUGUUGGAUCAAACUUGCUGGGCGUAGCAUCUUGACAGUGUAAGAGGAUAGGAACAAAGCUAUGCUGUGGUCAGUUCAGAGAUGUGCUGCCUCGGUUUUGUUACAACUUAGGUAUUGCCUGGGCCGGGAGGGUUUCUUCUCUUGCAGAAUGAUUCAAGCAUUGUCCAGCAUCAGGUGCAGAGUAUUUUUGGCUCCGUACACAGAGUCACAGAGUUUUGGCUCUGUCUCACAGUACAGUGAGACAACUAUAGUGACUACAGUUAAAACCACCCUGUGGUUGCAGGACUGCUUUUAUCAAGUCACAGGUUAUCAAAAUGUCUCAUUAAGCAAAAGGCUGUUAGCCUAGUCAGUAACUAGAAGAAAAGUUCUCUCUUCUCCCUCUCUGAAAGUGCUCCUGUGUCUGCUAGAACAUGAAGUACCUCCUAGAACAGCCGUAUUUCACCCAACUAGAGAUUUCUCCCUUGGUGCUCUCACAUACAGCCACGCUCUGUGAGCUUUGGAGCAGGAGCCUUUCUCAGGCCAGAAACCUCUGGCUUGAGGGUGAUGUCCAGUACAAAAAACCAGGAUAUUGUUUUCUGCAUGCACUUUCCCUACCUCUUCUCCAUGGGUGCCUGCGGGGAGCCACGGCCACCCCUGUCUGCCAGGGCGUCGUGCCUCCUGCUCAGCAGGAUGCCGUGCUGCCUUUGUCACCACUCUGCAGGCAGACCACGGGGGACUGGGCCCGUGGGGAGCAGGGUCUCUGUCUGGCUGCUGCCGAAGCCUCUCUCAAAGUGUCUUUGCAGGAAGGUGGCUUGGGGCGGCUGCAGAACAAGGGGAAGGAGCACUGCACCGAUGUAAGCAUGCCACGGUCCAAGCGUGCCAGCCGUAUCGGCACUAUAGACCAGAUGUGUGCUUUGCAAAUUAAUGAAAUGCCUUUUGAAAUGCUUUUAAGUAAAUGAGAGUUAAAUUCACGCUAAUUGCAUUAGCCUUGGUGGAGAGCACUGUCUGUCGGGGGCCACCUCAGCGUGGUUUUGGGUGUGCUGGGUGCGUGUAGCCAGGUUCCUCCAUCACAAGAGACAGGGGCCAGGGGUGCCGCCAGGACCCCCAGGGCUGGGAGCAGCAAGGGCCCGGACGGGGCUGAGGGGGAGCCCGGGCACAGCACGAGGCGGCCUCUAUGGCACCGGGGCUGCCCGCUCCAUCUCCGCCUGCUUUCUCCUUUCAGAUGGCACUGUGACAGAAGAUUAAUUCAAGUCAGCUGCUGAAAAUAAUUAUUGCAUUAUGGGAGCAGUAAUCAUUGUUUAGAACAUGAUUAAAUAUGUCUGCAUCUAUUGA